GGAAGGAGAGCCAAGAUAGUCACGGCAGAAUGUAGAGAAAUGUGGAAGACAAGGAGGAAUGGGCAGACCAGUCAGGGGGAUUAGGACAUUCAGGGGCCGUGCAAAGAUGUGAAAAGGGAUACAUGUUAGGUGGGACGUAAGUCUAAGGUUGUAAUUGCCAAAGAGUCUUGGGUUUCAUCUUAAGCAGUGUGGAUAUUAUUUUGUUAGCCAGUGGUUAUCUGAACCAGCAUCAUCAGAAUUUUCUGGGAAUUUGUUGGAUGUGCACAUUCUCAGACCUCCUCACAGACCUACUAAUUCUGAAAUCUAGGAAUGGAACCCAUCAACCUGUAGUUUAGCAAGCCCUCCAGCUGAUUCUGAUUUACAAUAAAGUUUGAGAACCACUGUCAUCAGUAUCAGAGGCCAUAUCACCAAUGGCAGUUAUAAAAAAAGAAAAGAAAAAGAAACAUCAAAAUGUAGGAAAAACACCCUCUUUUAUCUUCAGCAGAGUGAAUGAGAAGGCUAGAUUUGCAAAUGGAAAGAUGACUUAUGCAUUCACACAGAAGAUGGAUAGGAGAAAGGAAAGGCUGGUAACAGGAAAAUCAUUAGGCAGCUCCCAGAGAAGUACCCCAGGGAAGGACUAAGACCUGAGAAGUGGCAGGGAAGUUGAGCAGAGGGGUUGGACUUUGAGAAUGAAUGACAGGCAGAGGCCAUUCCACUAUACAGCACCUUUAAAGGUACUUUUACAUUUGCACUCAUAGAACAUUAGCACUUACAAGAUUCUUAGAGAUUUUUGAACACUUCCUUUUUGCAAAUGUGUGAACAGUCAGUUCCAAAGAGGUUAAGGAAUUUAAGGACACAACUAGUGGCAGAUUGAUUGGGGGUGGGAGCAUACAAAGUGCUGAUUUCAGAGAAAGUCAGAGGAGGGUUGUCAGGAUUUCCAUGUAUUUCCUAAAACAAAGCCUUCUAUUUUUUUUUUUUUCUCUUCUUACUAGUAACUACUAUCCCAGAAUAGCAAAAGAUAGCUUUGCCCCUCUUUGUACCCUUUACAUGACAUAGUGCAAUUUUCAGGGGCAAUGACUAAAUAUUAAGAUAGCCUAGUACGCUUCAGGCAAACUACUGUCAAAACCCUUAAAUCUAAGCAACAAUGCAGCUGUAUUAAGGGAACAAAGCAGAGUAGUACAGGGGAGGAGUUGGGGUUGGGUUGAGAUUGGAAUUAGAGGAAUAUUUCUUUUUUUUUUUUUUAUUUUAUUUUCCCACUGUACAGCAAGGGGGUCAGGUUAUCCUUACAUGUAUACAUUACCAUUACAGUUUUUCCCCCACCCUUUCUUCUGUUGCAACAUGAGUAUCUAGACAUAUUCUCAAUGCUAUUCAGCAGGAUCUCCUUGUAAAUCUAUUCUAAGUUGUGUCUGAUAAGCCCAAGCUCCUGAUCCCUCCCACUCCCUCCCCCUCCCAUCAGGCAGCCACAAGUCUCUAGAGGAAUAUUUCUUAGGAGCUGCAGAGUCUCCUCCAGGCAGGUAUGUACUCCAGGGAACACUUGAUGCCCACAGACUUUUGCAGUGACUGCAGUCUGUCACCAUUUCUCAGUGACUCCAGGCUGAAACCAAAUCCACUGUUAGUUCAUCCGCCAUCAGUCUGGAGCCAAGCCUAGAAAUAGUUCCACUGCUGCUUUAAUGGCAUUUGGGACAGGAGCAAAUGUUCUACACAGUGGCGCCUGUUGGCUCUGAUCAGAUAAAUUAAGGAGUUGAGCGUGUUUCCACCAUUUGGUUUAGUUUUAUUUUAGUCCCCAAGUCCCUUGGCUUCCAUUUUAAGACCUGGCACUUUCUCACUGGCGAAGCCCAUCCUGCCUUAUCACUGAGAGAAGCUUCCUCAAGUAGAAGCACUGCAUGCCAUAUCCGUCCUGAGGGACAGCCAGGGUCCAGCAAACCAAUUGUGCACCUGUUCUGUAACAUCACAGAGGCCAUCUCUUUGUCUUGACAUGCUUAAAAUCAUCACCCUUCAAAAAUAAACCAAUGAAGUCUUCUUGAGAGAGAACACUAGGUGAAUUUUUUUAAAGGGCAUUUCUCAAGAUUGGGAGGUAGAGUUUGGGCAAGUAAAUUCUGGCUCUGUUUAUAGAAAGAGCACAUGGUAAGAAUUUAAGAAUACCUAAUUUCAUUUUUAAAGAGAUUUACUACUCAAAUCACAAUUUUCCCUCCAUUGCAGGUGAAUCACAUUAUCUUGAUGAUAUUCUACUCUUUUCUACCUACAAAAACUGCAAUUUUAUAUAGUUCACAUAAAUAUGAAUUUGUAUCUUCAGAUCAUUGGUUCAGCUUUCUCUUUUUAUGUCUCUGUGUAGCUACUUCUUAGAAUUCCUAAUAGCAGGAAGAACCCCAUAACCAUGAAAAACUGCAAAUGACAUUACCCUUGUAUUAUAAGAAUCUUCUGUAGUCAUAGUUGAUUUAGUGGGAACAUUAAACAGCUUCUCUUUUUAAGUUCAUAUACUGCCCUCAAAAUAUAUGGAAAAAAUAUAGGUCGGUGAAAAAGGAGUAAAUGAAAGCAAUGCUAAUUGCCAUGAACUUUGUUUUUCCCCUCUUCCUAUCAGCCUAGUUAGCUGUAAACUUCAAACCCAUCCUAAGAAAAAUGACUGAGAAAAAUCUUAGGCCAAUCAAGUCAUUUCAUCAAUGAUAAGUCUAUCUUUUAUUUUAGAGAUGAAAUGUUUGCAUUGGAACAGCAUUCACAUUUCUAGCAGAAUCCUGGUAUAAUGGCUGAAAAGAUUUGAAUCCUAGUUCUAAGACGUAAAAGCUGAGUGAUCUGGGGAAAACUGCUUAACAUUUUUGAGACUUCAGAUUCCCCAAGUGCAAAAUGGGGACAGCGAUACUGCUCUCCAAUGUACAGUGUGUUUGCCAGGUUUUCACAAGAUAAUGUUCAUGAAGUUCUAUGAACAACAAUGCC
RNAcentral lists this long non-coding RNA (2907 nucleotides) under Sus scrofa (pig). Its description in RNAcentral is "lncRNA (ENSSSCG00015013661.1)". Lineage: Eukaryota; Metazoa; Chordata; Mammalia; Artiodactyla; Suidae. The record is from RNAcentral.